This 481-nucleotide ribosomal RNA is filed under the name uncultured bacterium. Its description in RNAcentral is "partial 16S ribosomal RNA". It matches the Rfam family "Bacterial small subunit ribosomal RNA", at positions 28 to 507 of the family's 1533-position model. The record is from RNAcentral.
GACGAACGUUGGCGGCGUGCUUAAUACAUGCAAGUCAACUGAAGCAGUGGUAGCAAUCUCGCUGUGGAGGUGGCGCACGGGUGAGUAACACGUAGGUAAUCUGCCUUCAGGUCUGGCAUAACUCCGGGAAACCGGGGCUAAUAGCAGAUGAUGCAGCGGCUCGACAUCGAGACAGUUGUUAAAGCUAUGGCGCCUGAAGAUGAGCCUGCGUCUGAUUAGCUAGUUGGCGGGGUAACGGCCCACCAAGGCAACGAUCGGUAGCUGGUCUGAGAGGAUGAUCAGCCACACUGGAACUGAGACACGGCCCAGACUCCGACGGGAGGCAGCAGUAAGGAAUAUUGCUCAAUGGGAGAAAUACUGAAGCAGCAACGCCGCGGGAGGGACGAAGGGCUUUUGCUUGUAAACCUCUGUAGUGAGAGAAAAAAAUCCCAAUCUUUGGGACAUGAUGGUAUCUCAAAAGUAAGCCCCGGCUAACUACGUG